ACUCCCCAUUCCUCAAUCCAGCCACUACCCAGUGCCCACUGCGCCGCCGCCGGCUCCUGCUCGGCUGCUCCUGCAGGCUGCAGGCUCCCCGUCCCCGCGCGCGGCGCCCUCGCCCUCCAGGGCUCCAGGCCUCGAACCCGCCUGACGCCGGACGCCCCAUCCCCAUCCGUACGGAGCCCUCGAUGGCUCGACCCUCAGGCGACUAGCCGACCAAGCCCGCAGGCCCUGUGCUCGCGCAGUCGCGCGCUCCCCGCGACAGCCGACCGCCGCAGGGCAGCAGGGGACGUGGAGGUCGGUGGGCAGCAGGUGUCAGGAGCCAGGAAGCCGCCAACUUCGGGUUCAGCUUCCGUGGCUUCCGUGGCUUCGUUCAUGUACAGGAGCAGGGUACUGUAUGCUUUCGUGGCUUCGUUGUUCAUGAGACCAUGACAUGUUUUCUAUUAUGUUAAUGGUUUAAUGUUAUGUUGUGUUUGUGUCACCGUGGUGCUCAUCUACUUGUUUAUGGACUAUACUUUAUUUGCUUGUGUAUUGUGCAUGUACGGUUGAAUCUGUUGCGCUAAGUUGAACGUUUGAAGUGGUUACAUGGGUUGAUGUUCCCGUUUUGAAA
This is a long non-coding RNA of Panicum virgatum (switchgrass), 604 nucleotides long. RefSeq lists it as uncharacterized. NCBI's taxonomy places the organism in Eukaryota, Viridiplantae, Streptophyta, Magnoliopsida, Poales, Poaceae. The record is from RefSeq and is a predicted model, not a curated record. The transcript is spliced from 2 exons.